GGAGGGGUGACCGAGUGGUUUAAGGAGCCGGUCUUGAAAACCGGUGCGGGGCAACCUGCCGUGGGUUCGAAUCCCACCCCCUCCG
Non-coding RNA from Spirochaeta sp., 85 nucleotides. Lineage: Bacteria; Pseudomonadati; Spirochaetota; Spirochaetia; Spirochaetales; Spirochaetaceae. The record is from Rfam.